Molecule: ribosomal RNA, 253 nt
Filed under: uncultured bacterium
Lineage: Bacteria
Description: partial 16S ribosomal RNA
Rfam family: Bacterial small subunit ribosomal RNA
Source: RNAcentral
UACAGAGGGUGCGAGCGUUGUCCGGAAUCACUGGGCGUAAAGGGCGCGUGGGUGGCGCUGCAAGUCGGUGGUGAAAGCUCGUCGCUUAACGACGAGUCGGCCAUCGAAACUGCAGGGCUGGAGCACUGUAGGGGCUAAUGGAAUUCCGGGUGUAGCGGUGGAAUGCGUAGAGAUCCGGAAGAACACCAGUGGCGAAGGCGGUUAGCUGGGCAGUUGCUGACACUGAGGCGCGACAGCGUGGGGAGCAAACAGG